RNAcentral lists this ribosomal RNA (474 nucleotides) under uncultured bacterium. RNAcentral's name for it is "bacterial SSU rRNA". It matches the Rfam family "Bacterial small subunit ribosomal RNA", at positions 29 to 506 of the family's 1533-position model. The record is from RNAcentral.
AUGAACGCUAGCGGCAGGCUUAACACAUGCAAGUCGAGGGGUAUAGUAGCAAUACUAGAGACCGGCGCACGGGUGCGUAACGCGUAUGCAAUCUACCUUUUGCAGAGGGAUAGCCCAGAGAAAUUUGGAUUAAUACCUCAUAGUAUAUGGAGUUGGCAUCAACACCAUAUUAAAGUCACAACGGCAAAAGAUGAGCAUGCGUCCCAUUAGCUAGUUGGUAAGGUAACGGCUUACCAAGGCAACGAUGGGUAGGGGUCCUGAGAGGGAGAUCCCCCACACUGGUACUGAGACACGGACCAGACUCCUACGGGAGGCAGCAGUGAGGAAUAUUGGUCAAUGGGCGCAAGCCUGAACCAGCCAUGCCGCGUGCAGGAUGACGGUCCUAUGGAUUGUAAACUGCUUUUAUACGAGAAGAAACACUACUUCGUGAAGUAGCUUGACGGUAUCGUAAGAAUAAGGAUCGGCUAACUCCGU